RNAcentral lists this transfer RNA (83 nucleotides) under Spirochaetota bacterium. RNAcentral's name for it is "Spirochaetes bacterium tRNA-OTHER". Lineage: Bacteria; Pseudomonadati; Spirochaetota. The record is from RNAcentral.
GGGUAUUUCGCUGAAUUAUCUCUGUGGGCAGACUGUAAAUCUGUCGGCUUUAGCCUUCGAAGGUUCGAAUCCUUCCCUCCCCA